Molecule: ribosomal RNA, 253 nt
Filed under: uncultured bacterium
Lineage: Bacteria
Description: partial 16S ribosomal RNA
Rfam family: Bacterial small subunit ribosomal RNA
Source: RNAcentral
UACGAAGGGGGCUAGCGUUGCUCGGAAUCACUGGGCGUAAAGGGUGCGUAGGCAGGUCUUUAAGUCAGGGGUGAAAUCCUGGAGCUCAACUCCAGAACUGCCUUUGAUACUGAGGAUCUUGAGUUCGGGAGAGGUGAGUGGAACUGCGAGUGUAGAGGUGAAAUUCGUAGAUAUUCGCAAGAACACCAGUGGCGAAGGCGGCUCACUGGCCCGAUACUGACGCUGAGGCACGAAAGCGUGGGGAGCAAACAGG